Molecule: ribosomal RNA, 536 nt
Filed under: Naganishia diffluens
Lineage: Eukaryota; Fungi; Basidiomycota; Tremellomycetes; Filobasidiales; Filobasidiaceae
Description: partial large subunit ribosomal RNA
Rfam family: Eukaryotic large subunit ribosomal RNA
Source: RNAcentral
UGAAAUCUAGUAGCCUUCGGCUGCUCGAGUUGUAAUCUAGAGAAGUGUUUUCCGUGCCGGCCCAUGUACAAGUCCCUUGGAACAGGGCGUCAUAGAGGGUGAGAAUCCCGUCCUUGACAUGGACCCCCGGUGCUCUGUGAUACACUUUCAACGAGUCGAGUUGUUUGGGAAUGCAGCUCAAAAUGGGUGGUGAAUUCCAUCUAAAGCUAAAUAUUGGCGAGAGACCGAUAGCGAACAAGUACCGUGAGGGAAAGAUGAAAAGCACUUUGGAAAGAGAGUUAAACAGUACGUGAAAUUGUUGAAAGGGAAACGAUUGAAGUCAGUCAUGCUCUUUGGUAUUUAUAUCAUUGAGUGGGGUCAACAUCAGUUUUGAGCGAUGGAUAAAGGCACUAGGAAGGUAGCACUCUCGGGUGAACUUAUAGCCUAGCGUCAUAUACAUUGUUUGGGACUGAGGAACGCAGCAUGCCUUUAUGGCCGGGAUUCGUCCACGUACAUGCUUAGGAUGUUGACAUAAUGGCUUUAAACGACCCGUCUUG